CACAGUUGUCAGAGAAAACAGACCGAUACACUUACCAAUAGUCAAUCUUAAGGGAGAAAUGCUUUUCCACAACUGGGAAUCUAUAUUUAAAGGAAAUGGUGGAGAAUUCAACAUUAAUGUUCCAAUAUACUCUUUUGAUGGGAGAAAUGUCAUGACAGACCCAUCCUGGCCUCAAAAAGUAAUAUGGCAUGGUUCAACUGCGAAUGGGAUCCGAAUGGUUAGCAACUACUGUGAAGCCUGGCACACAAGUGAUUUGGCAGCUAUGGGACAAGCAUCACCACUGAAGAAGGGAAAACUUCUCGAUCAGAAAGCAUAUAGCUGUAGCAAUCAGUUUAUUGUUCUCUGUAUUGAAAACAGUUUUGUAUCUGAUCCCCAAGGAAAAUAAUUCACCUGUUGCACAUAGUAUUCCAUCUUAUGACAGAAAAAGCUGACACUGAAAUUUUAUUUGUACUGAUGUAAAUAUUUUAUUUUUUGCAAUUGCACCUUUCAGGAAAAAAUAGCCAAAGAAAAUGUACCUCAACAUAAGCCAUAUUCCAGUUGGGUGAAAUAUCCCAUGUCACAUGAGGCUGACUUAAACCCUUCUUUCCACAUGAACCCCACAUGGUUCAAGGUCUGCCAACACUUAACUCACAACCCCUUUUUUUCUGUCUGAAGAUCAGUGAAAGUCUAGUGUGGUCUACAGGAAAGAUUCAGUAGCUUAUCUUAGAAGCAAUAAGGCUCAGCAAGGCUGAUGCUUCUUCAUAGUUGAGAAGCUGCAUGUUCUUUUUACUUGCAUAGGUUUUUGAACACUCAAGGCACUAUUUAAAUAUAUGUCUAUAUACAUGCUGUCCCCGAGUAAAUAAGGGGAUGCUGUUAAAACUUACAGGGAUGGAAUUGACAAAAAUUUUUAAGAACAAAGGUGCUCACCUUUUGGUCUCCGUGGAAGCUAAGUACCUACCUCCCAUAAGCUUUUAUAGAUUUCACCCUGGUUCUUAUACAUGAAUUUAGCAGCCUGACUGCUUACUUCCACUAUUUGCAGAUUCUAGGCAUAGGGCUUUAUGCAGGAGAACUGAAUCUCACCUAGACAAAAUCUGGUCCUUAUUUUGGUGCUAUCGUUAUCAGGAAAUCUGGAACAAUAUUAAUAGAAAACAUCCUGUUUUAACUGGCAGAACUUUGCAAAGUAUAUGCAGACAAACAAGCCAUCUGACCGUUAUUUAUUUUAUUGCAUGUUAGAGGAAGUCAUUUCCUGUUGUGGCAAGCAUUGCUGAAUGAAAGUCUGUCGUCGUUUCUUUACAAUAGGUUCUAGAUAUUGUUAUCUCACUAAGUUACAUGUAAAAGUGAUUUUCCUUUUUGUGAAUUUACCCUUCUGGCAUUCACGUAAUGAAGGAAUCAUUAAUAUAUAAUCACAGCAGCAAUGAUGGAAAUGACCUGUAAAUGC
Molecule: non-coding RNA, 1417 nt
Organism: Anas platyrhynchos (mallard)
Lineage: Eukaryota; Metazoa; Chordata; Aves; Anseriformes; Anatidae
Source: RefSeq, a predicted model, not a curated record